GACGAACGCUGGCGGCGUGCUUAACACAUGCAAGUCGAACGGACAGGCCCUGCUUUUGUGGGGUGCUCGAGUGGCGAACGGGUGAGUAACACGUGAGUAACCUGCCCUUGACUUUGGGAUAACUUCAGGAAACUGGGGCUAAUAUCGGGUAGGAGCUCCUGCUGCAUGGUGGUGGUUGGAAAGUUUCGGCGGUUGGGGAUGGACUCGCGGCUUAUCAGCUUCUUGGUGGGGUAGUUGCUUACCAGGGCUUUGACGGGUAGCCGGCAUGAGAGGGUGACCGGCCACCUUGGGACUGCGAUACGGCCCAGACGCCUACGGGAGGCAGCAGUGGGGAAUAUUGCACAAUGGGCGGAAGCCUGAUGCAGCAACGCUGCGUGCGUGAUGACGGGCUUCGGGUUGUAAACCGCUUUGGACUGUGACGAAGCGUGAGUGACGGUAAUGGGUAAAGAAGCACCGGCUAACUACGUG
This 468-nucleotide ribosomal RNA is filed under the name uncultured bacterium. RNAcentral describes it as "partial 16S ribosomal RNA". It matches the Rfam family "Bacterial small subunit ribosomal RNA", at positions 28 to 507 of the family's 1533-position model. The record is from RNAcentral.